UCAGAUGAUUUCCCAAGCUUCCGAGAUAAUCCCAAGUUUCAGGCUUUCAGAUGAUGAUCCCAAGCUUCCGAUGAUAAUCCCAAGCCUUCAGGUGUUGUGUUCAUCUAAAUUUUAAGAGCGUUUAAGAAACAUAAAAGAGCGUUUAAGAAACAUAUUUGUUUCUUAAACAUAUCUUUUAUUUGUCUCGAGGAAGGUUUUUUACCGAUUUACUCCUGAGGGCUUGUAGCUCAGUUGGUUAGAGCGCGCGCUUGAUAAGCGUGAGGUCGGAGGUUCAAGUCCUCCCAGGCCCACCAAUUUAUGAUCGCUGAUAAAGUUUUUUUUACAAACAUUUUGGUGAUCUUUUAUGUUGCAAUCUUUCAAAAGUAUUUAAACUGUUUUAGGGGCCGUAGCUCAGCUGGGAGAGCACCUGCUUUGCAAGCAGGGGGUCGUCGGUUCGAUCCCGUCCGGCUCCACCAUCUUUAGUCAUCAUCAUCGUUAAAGAACAAUGUUUGCAAUAGAUCUAUAGUUCUAUAGUUUUUAAGUCUAUCAUCUAUUGCCUGUUCUAUUGAAAUUGUGAAGAGAAGAUAUAUUCAGACAUGUU
Molecule: transfer RNA, 580 nt
Filed under: Bartonella sp. TR-74
Lineage: Bacteria; Pseudomonadati; Pseudomonadota; Alphaproteobacteria; Hyphomicrobiales; Bartonellaceae
Description: partial 16S-23S ribosomal RNA intergenic spacer
Rfam family: tRNA (bases 217-290)
Source: RNAcentral